Molecule: ribosomal RNA, 1011 nt
Filed under: uncultured bacterium
Lineage: Bacteria
Description: bacterial SSU rRNA
Rfam family: Bacterial small subunit ribosomal RNA
Source: RNAcentral
UGCACGUGAACGGUCAGUAUUGGUGCGCUAGGCGAUCACACCCAUAUGGAUCUCAUCCGCGACAGUUUAUUGAAUUAUACCUACAACGUUGUUCAUGGCUUUAUGACGGCGGAACUCCCGGGGCUUGUACGACCGAUAAAAGACCUUCGGGUAUGCUUAAGGAGGGGCCUGCGGCGCAUUAGUUAGUUGGAGAGGUGAAAGCUCCCCAAGACGAUGAUGCGUAGCCGGACUGAGAGGUUGAACGGCCACAUUGGGACUGAGAAACGGCCCUAACUCCUACGGGAGGCAGCAGUAGGGAAUUUUCGGCAAUGGGGGAAACCCUGACCGAGCAACGCCGCGUGAAUGAAGACGUAUUUCGGUAUGUAAAGUUCUUUUAUCGAGGAAGAAUGGCAUCGUGUGAACACGAUGAUUGACGGUACUUGAUGAAUAAGCCCCGGCUAACUAUGUGCCAGCAGCCGCGGUAAUACAUAGGGGGCAAGCGUUAUCCGGAAUUAUUGGGCGUAAAGGGUGCGUAGGCGGUUGUUUAAGUCUUUGGUGUAAGUGCAGUGCUUAACGCUGUGAUGCUAAAGAAACUGGGCAACUUGAGUGUGGUAGAGGCAAGUGGAAUUCCAUGUGUAGCGGUAAAAUGCGUAAAUAUAUGGAGGAACACCAGUGGCGAAGGCGGCUUGCUGGGCCACAACUGACGCUGAGGCACGAAAGCGUGGGGAGCAAACAGGAUUAGAUACCCUGGUAGUCCACGCCGUAAACGAUGAGUACUAAGUGUUGGAGAAAUUCAGUGCUGUAGUUAACGCAAUAAGUACUCCGCCUGAGUAGUACGUACGCAAGUAUGAAACUCAAAGGAAUUGACGGGACCCCGCACAAGCGGUGGAUCAUGUUGUUUAAUUCGAUGAUACGCGAAGAACCUUACCAGGUCUUGACAUCCCCUGCAACGUGGUAGAGAUACCAUAGAGGUUAUCAGGGAGACAGGUGGUGCAUGGGUUGUCGUCAGCUCGUGUCGUGAGAUGUUGGGUU